RNAcentral lists this ribosomal RNA (459 nucleotides) under uncultured bacterium. RNAcentral's name for it is "partial 16S ribosomal RNA". It matches the Rfam family "Bacterial small subunit ribosomal RNA", at positions 338 to 795 of the family's 1533-position model. The record is from RNAcentral.
CCUACGGGUGGCAGCAGUGAGGAAUAUUGGUCAAUGGCCGCAAGGCUGAACCAGCCAAGUCGCGUGAGGGACGACUGCCCUAUGGGUUGUAAACUGCUUUUAUGAGGGAAUAAUAUAUGCUACGUGUAGCUUGUUGCCGGUACCGUAUGAAUAAGCAUCGGCUAAUUCCGUGCCAGCAGCCGCGGUAAUACGGAGGGUGCGGGCGUUAUCCGGAUUUAUUGGGUUUAAAGGGUGCGUAGGCGGUUUUUUAAGUGAGUGGUAAAACGCCGGGGCUAAACCUUGCUCUGCCAUGAGUACUGUAAGACUUGAGUUCACAGGAGGUAGGCGGAAUACGUUGAGGAGCGGUGAAAUGCUUAGAUAUAACGAAGAACUCCGAUAGCGAAGGCAGCUUACCAGACUGCGACUGACGCUGAAGCACGAGAGCGCGGGUAGCGAACAGGAUUAGAUACCCGGGUAGUC